This is a long non-coding RNA of Apus apus (common swift), 1434 nucleotides long. RefSeq lists it as uncharacterized. The record is from RefSeq and is a predicted model, not a curated record. Lineage: Eukaryota; Metazoa; Chordata; Aves; Apodiformes; Apodidae. The transcript is spliced from 2 exons.
CCAAAAAAUGGCAUAAAAUAUAUGUCUUCUUUAUCAGGAAAAUAAUAUGUUUACUGAUUUAAUGUGACUUGAAGCAUCAGAGCAUUUCAAAUGGUCAGGAGCUGGCUUUUUUUGCAGUCUGCCUGCACAUUACGUUUCUUUUCCUCUCGUCCUUUUUCUGUUCUCUUCAAUGUCACUUGCAAAAUGCUGAUCAUUUGGUUUGGGUUACUCUUAUUUCUGACUCUAUAAGAAGGAAAAAGUGCAUAUGGGCCAUGUGGAUAUAAGGAAAAACACACAUCCAUCACAUCUGUUUUAAAGCAGCAUAAUUAAAUACAAACAUUAUGCCCUUUAAUUCCCCUGCAAUAAGGGAGUUUCCUAGUGGAACAGAGCACCUAAAAGUUUGACUAAGUGCCUCAUUGUGCACCAAGCAAUGUGCAUUGGACCCUCAUCUUCAUUCAGAAGAGCCAGGUGAUAAAGCUAGUCUGCUAGUUAAAAGGAUCCCUCUAAGGGAAACCUGGGAUGAAGUUUUGCAAAGUGAAGGCAGGCGUUAGCUCUGACGUGCGGAAUCAAACUUCACAACCUCAGGGAUGAAGGCUCAAAGUCUUUGUGGGAAACUGUUAUUUUCUUCCCCACGUAAGUCUAAACAAAAUGCCUUUUAAGCCAGCGAAGGCCUCUCCUGAUUAUCCCCAGCUAACGGACUAAAACAGACUUGCUUCUCAAGGACAACUGAACCCAAAACAACAGAUGUGAUCCGGGACAGAAAGGACGGGCGACAAGCCAUCCUGUGCCCCUGGCAGUCACCGCCUUAAAGUGGGGCUCAUGGACGCUCAUUGGCUCUGGACAGUGACACUGACUGGACCGGUGGGUCCCGGGGAUAUUAAAGGUGGCGAGGGCAGCAGGUGGGCCCUUCCAUCCCUCCUCCCUGAGGCCCGUUCGGACGCUUUCUGCAUGGGACACCCCCCUGCUGCGGACACUGCUGCUGGGACCCUGCCUGCCUGCCUGCCCCGGGUCCAGCCUGAGCCUCAGCGCCGAGCGUGCCGGGGUCCCGAGCCCUGGGGUCGGGGCCGGAGCCCCCUCCCCGUGUUGCUGCCGGUUGAGGGGAAACCAACAGCUGCUGCACCCGCUGCCGAGCCGCAAGAGGCUGAGCCGCCAGAGGGUAACAUCACCUCACACACACACACACACACACUCCUUUCCUCAUACUCGCGCACACAGCUCGCAGACACAGCUCGACCUCUUAAGGAGGACUGUCAUUGGGUUUCAUUCCCUCCUUCCCUCCUCCCUUUGGUCCUUAAUCUUCUCCCUUAAGAGCAUCUUUGCAUUGCCUCCCUAAAGGACACUUUCUCACUACAUACAUAUUUAUAUCCCUGGUAGCCAUUCACAUUUGCAUUGUCCCUAAACAUCAUCCCUCGGUUUCUGUUAACCCUUAAUAAACCAAUUAUUUUGUGGAGUAAA